UGAGUAACACGUGGGUAACCUGCCCAUAAGACUGGGAUAACUCCGGGAAACCGGGGCUAAUACCGGAUAACAUUUUGAACCGCAUGGUUCGAAAUUGAAAGGCGGCUUCGGCUGUCACUUAUGGAUGGACCCGCGUCGCAUUAGCUAGUUGGUGAGGUAACGGCUCACCAAGGCAACGAUGCGUAGCCGACCUGAGAGGGUGAUCGGCCACACUGGGACUGAGACACGGCCCAGACUCCUACGGGAGGCAGCAGUAGGGAAUCUUCCGCAAUGGACGAAAGUCUGACGGAGCAACGCCGCGUGAGUGAUGAAGGCUUUCGGGUCGUAAAACUCUGUUGUUAGGGAAGAACAAGUGCUAGUUGAAUAAGCUGGCACCUUGACGGUACCUAACCAGAAAGCCACGGCUAACUACGUGCCAGCAGCCGCGGUAAUACGUAGGUGGCAAGCGUUAUCCGGAAUUAUUGGGGCGUAAAGCGCGCGCAGGUGGUUUCUUAAGUCUGAUGUGAAAGCCCACGGCUCAACCGUGGAGGGUCAUUGGAAACUGGGAGACUUGAGUGCAGAAGAGGAAAGUGGAAUUCCAUGUGUAGCGGUGAAAUGCGUAGAGAUAUG
Molecule: ribosomal RNA, 609 nt
Filed under: Bacillus cereus
Lineage: Bacteria; Bacillati; Bacillota; Bacilli; Caryophanales; Bacillaceae
Also listed under: 1 other name
Description: bacterial SSU rRNA
Rfam family: Bacterial small subunit ribosomal RNA
Source: RNAcentral